UUUGCGAACUGCUCAGUAACACGUGGAUAACCUGCCCUAUGCUCUGGAAUAACCUCGGGAAACUGAGAAUAAUACCGGAUAGAUCACAACGCCUGGAACGGUGUGUGGUUGAAAGAUUACGGCAUAGGAUGGGUCUGCGGCGUAUCAGGUUGUAGGGGGUGUAACGGACCUCCUAGCCAUCGACGCGUACGGGUGUUGGGAGACAUAGCCCGGAGAUGGAUUCUGAGACACGAAUCCAGACCCUACGGGGUGCAGCAGGCGCGAAAACUUCACACUGCAGGAAACUGUGAUGAGGGAACUCCAAGUGCGUGCACUUAGUGUGCGCUUUUCUUGACUAUUAAUCGGUCAUGGAAUAAGGGCUGGGAAAGACCGGUGCCAGCCGCCGCGGUAAUACCGGCAGCUCAAGUGGUCGUCGCUUUUAUUGGGCCUAAAACGUCCGUAGCCUGUUUGGUAAAUCUGUGGGUAAAUCAACCAGCUUAACUGGUUGAAUUCUGCAGAGACUGCCAGACUAGGGACCGGGAGAGGUGUGGGGUACUCUAGGGGUAGGGGUAAAAUCCUGUCAUCCUUAGAGGACCACCAGUUGCGAAGGCGCCACACUGGAACGGAUUCGACGGUCAGGGACGAAGCCUAGGGGCACGAACCGGAUUAGAUACCCGGGUAGUCCUAGGUGUAAACGCUGUGAACUUGGUGUCGGGGAUCCGUCAUGGGUCCCCGGUGCCGGAGUGAAGAUGUUAAGUUCACUGCCUGAGGAGUACGGUCGCAAGGCCGAAACUUAAAGGAAUUGGCGGGGGAGCACUGCAACGGGAGGAGCGUGCGGUUUAAUU
This 824-nucleotide ribosomal RNA is filed under the name uncultured marine euryarchaeote. Its description in RNAcentral is "bacterial SSU rRNA". It matches the Rfam family "Archaeal small subunit ribosomal RNA", at positions 78 to 907 of the family's 1478-position model. The record is from RNAcentral. Lineage: Archaea; Methanobacteriati; Methanobacteriota.